GGAGGAAAAGAAACCAACAGGGAUUGCCCCAGUAACGGCGAGUGAAGCGGCAACAGCUCAAAUUUGAAAUCUGGCUUCGGCCCGAGUUGUAAUUUGUAGAGGAUGCUUUUGGUGAGGUGCCUUCUGAGUUCCCUGGAACGGGACGCCAGAGAGGGUGAGAGCCCCGUAUAGUCGGCCACCGAUCCUCUGUAAAGCUCCUUCGACGAGUCGAGUAGUUUGGGAAUGCUGCUCAAAAUGGGAGGUAUAUCUCUUCUAAAGCUAAAUAUUGGCCAGAGACCGAUAGCGCACAAGUAGAGUGAUCGAAAGAUGAAAAGCACUUUGAAAAGAGGGUUAAAUAGCACGUGAAAUUGUUGAAAGGGAAGCGCUUGUGACCAGACUUGUGCCGGGCUGAUCAUCCAGUGUUCUCACUGGUGCACUCGACCCGGCUCAGGCCAGCGUCGGUUCUCGCGGGGGGAUAAAAGCUUCGGGAACGUGGCACCUCCGGGUGUGUUAUAGCCCGCUGCUUAAUACCUUCGCGGGGACCGAGGUUCGCGCUCUGCAAGGACGCUGGCAUAAUGGUCAUCAGCGAC
RNAcentral lists this ribosomal RNA (569 nucleotides) under Coniochaeta velutina. RNAcentral describes it as "eukaryotic LSU rRNA". It matches the Rfam family "Eukaryotic large subunit ribosomal RNA", at positions 52 to 648 of the family's 3401-position model. The record is from RNAcentral. Lineage: Eukaryota; Fungi; Ascomycota; Sordariomycetes; Coniochaetales; Coniochaetaceae.